Molecule: long non-coding RNA, 799 nt
Organism: Mytilus californianus (California mussel)
Lineage: Eukaryota; Metazoa; Mollusca; Bivalvia; Mytilida; Mytilidae
Exons: 3
Source: RefSeq, a predicted model, not a curated record
GAAGUACGAAAUCUUCCCGCCUUGGAAAGCGUCGGUCAACAAAAAUGGAAAAGGUUAAAAGUGUUUUAUUGUGUUUGGUAUCUUUGGUAUAUUGUGAUGUACUUGACAUAAAGAAUGUGUGCAAGUUGGAACAAAAUUUAAAUUUUAUUCCUAAGGGUUAUUCGUGCACAUUUGUUGGAGGGAACGUGUAUGUUUACCAAGGCAAGCCCUCGAUUGGAACAAUAUAUUUUGAUACAUUUAAUGCCGAUUCUACAUUGAUUAUUUUGGGAGUUAAAACAGUUGUGAUAAAGCGUGGUUCUAUGGAUACAUGUCAUCAACUUGUGACUAGAAAUCCUGAAGCUAGUAUCAACAUAUACGGACAAAAUUGUGAAUAUGUAACUACAACUCAAUCGAUACUCAGUACGAUUAGAUCGGAAGAGUCAGAAGAACAGUAUCAUGAGUACACCUGGAUGUAUUCAACAGUGAGUCUUAUCAUAGUUGUCGUCAUUGUCUUACUAGUUUGUUGUGGGAGAUACGUGUCAAAGAAAAGGCACAGAUCUAGAAACAAAAACAGGAAUGAUAUUGAGAUGUCCUCUGACAUAAUGUUUGAAGUUCCAAGAAAUCCACCACAAAUUUUGAAAUCGGAUUAGCUAUUUUAAUAAUAUAAAUGUAAUAUGUGUGAGCAGAAGUCUAUUAUGGAUUACUAAAGUAAAAAAAUCAUUGAUUACAGGUGGCCAUUGGCAGUAUAUUAUUUUGUUGGCUCUACCUAUAGUGCAAAGACGAUUUCCCUUCAUGUUUGAUGUGGUUUUCUUCAACAAUG